UACGUAGGCAGCGAGCGUUGUUCGGAGUUACUGGGCGUAAAGGGUGCGUAGGCGGGUCUUUAAGUCAGGGGUGAAAUCCUGGAGCUCAACUCCAGAACUGCCUUUGAUACUGAGGAUCUUGAGUUCGGGAGAGGUGAGUGGAACUGCGAGUGUAGAGGUGAAAUUCGUAGAUAUUCGCAAGAACACCAGUGGCGAAGGCGGCUCACUGGCCCGAUACUGACGCUGAGGCACGAAAGCGUGGGGAGCAAACAGG
Molecule: ribosomal RNA, 253 nt
Filed under: uncultured bacterium
Lineage: Bacteria
Description: partial 16S ribosomal RNA
Rfam family: Bacterial small subunit ribosomal RNA
Source: RNAcentral